Molecule: ribosomal RNA, 243 nt
Filed under: uncultured Actinomycetales bacterium
Lineage: Bacteria; Bacillati; Actinomycetota; Actinomycetes; Actinomycetales
Description: partial 16S ribosomal RNA
Rfam family: Bacterial small subunit ribosomal RNA
Source: RNAcentral
UACUCGAGUGGCGAACGGGUGAGUAACACGUGGGUGAUCUGCCCUGCACUUCGGGAUAAGCUUGGGAAACUGGGUCUAAUACCGGAUAGGACCGCACUUUAGUGUGUGUGGUGGAAAGUUUUUUCGGUGUAGGAUGAGCUCGCGGCCUAUCAGCUUGUUGGUGGGGUAAUGGCCUACCAAGGUGGCGACGGGUAGCCGGCCUGAGAGGGUGUACGGCCACAUUGGGACUGAGAUACGGCCCAG